Molecule: long non-coding RNA, 364 nt
Organism: Pseudophryne corroboree (corroboree frog)
Lineage: Eukaryota; Metazoa; Chordata; Amphibia; Anura; Myobatrachidae
Exons: 3
Source: RefSeq, a predicted model, not a curated record
AUCCUGAGCAGUUAUGUCCUGACAAGAUCCCUUUGAAUACCUUAGUGAUGCUUUCCUUAUUCAUAAAUCGAGUGACACAUCAAUAUUCCCUCUGUUUACAGUGUGUUGCUUAACUUCUGCCGACCCUCCAAUAAAAACUCAUUCCUUUUGAAACGAGACCUGACUCAGCGUGUCUUCAAGUGUUCCCACAAUUCUCACCUCUCUGCACUGGAGUGAAGUGACCGAAGCGGAUCUCAAGGUUGUAGAGAGGAAGAGAAUGAAUUGAACGGAUACAGAUGUCUGAAGGAAUUAUAGUCGGGCACAUACUGUACUGUACUACAGCGUUGUCAAUAUAAACUCUCCAUGGCCGAUGCACUCACACUCC